AGCAAUACGGGAGUGGCGCACGGGUGAGUAACACGUGGGAAUAUGCCCAGCAGUGGGGGAUAACCGAGGGAAACUUCGGCUAAUACCGCAUACGCCCCUAGGGGGAAAGAUUUAUCGCUGUUGGAUUAGCCCGCGUCCGAUUAGCUAGUUGGUGUGGUAACGGCGCACCAAGGCGACGAUCGGUAGCUGGUCUGAGAGGAUGAUCAGCCACACUGGGACUGAGACACGGCCCAGACUCCUACGGGAGGCAGCAGUGGGGAAUAUUGGACAAUGGGGGCAACCCUGAUCCAGCCAUGCCGCGUGAGUGAAGAAGGCCUUAGGGUUGUAAAGCUCUUUCGGCGGGGACGAUGAUGACGGUACCCGCAGAAGAAGCCCCGGCUAACUCCGUGCCAGCAGCCGCGGUAAUACGGAGGGGGCUAGCGUUGUUCGGAAUUACUGGGCGUAAAGCGCGCGCAGGCGGCUAUUCUAG
This 469-nucleotide ribosomal RNA is filed under the name uncultured Magnetospirillum sp. Its description in RNAcentral is "bacterial SSU rRNA". It matches the Rfam family "Bacterial small subunit ribosomal RNA", at positions 83 to 587 of the family's 1533-position model. The record is from RNAcentral. Lineage: Bacteria; Pseudomonadati; Pseudomonadota; Alphaproteobacteria; Rhodospirillales; Rhodospirillaceae.